AUUGAACGCUGGCGGCAGGCCUAACACAUGCAAGUCGAACGAGUGGCGGACGGGUGAGUAAUGUCUGGGAAACUGCCCGAUGGAGGGGGAUAACUACUGGAAACGGUAGCUAAUACCGCAUACCAUCGGAUGUGCCCAGAUGGGAUUCGCUAGUAGUGGGGGUAACGGCUCACCUAGGCGACGAUCCCUAGCUGGUCUGAGAGGAUGACCAGCAACAGUGGAACUGAGACACGGUUCAGACUCCUACGGGAGGCAGCAGUGGGGAAUAUUGCAGAAUGGGCGCAAGCCUGACGGAGCAACGCCGCGUGAGUGAAGAAGGCCUUAGGGUUGUAAAGUACUUUCAGCGGGGAGGCGUUACCCGCAGAAGAAGCACCGGCUAACUCCGUGCCAGCAGCCGCGGUAAGAC
This 406-nucleotide ribosomal RNA is filed under the name uncultured bacterium. RNAcentral's name for it is "partial 16S ribosomal RNA". It matches the Rfam family "Bacterial small subunit ribosomal RNA", at positions 29 to 526 of the family's 1533-position model. The record is from RNAcentral.